This 516-nucleotide ribosomal RNA is filed under the name uncultured bacterium. Its description in RNAcentral is "partial 16S ribosomal RNA". It matches the Rfam family "Bacterial small subunit ribosomal RNA", at positions 28 to 523 of the family's 1533-position model. The record is from RNAcentral.
GACGAACGCUGGCGGCAUGCCUAAUACAUGCAAGUCGAGCGGAGUUGACGAGAAGCUUGCUUCUCUGAUACUUAGCGGCGGACGGGUGAGUAACACGUAGGCAACCUGCCUUUCAGUUUGGGAUAACUUCCGGAAACGGAUGCUAAUACCGAAUACAUCAUCUUCUGGCAUCAGAGAAUGAGGAAAGACGGCGCAAGCUGUCACUGAGAGAUGGGCCUGCGGCGCAUUAGCUAGUUGGUGGGGUAAUGGCUCACCAAGGCGACGCUGCGUAGCCGACCUGGGAGGGUGAACGGCCACACUGGGACUGAGACACGGCCCAGACUCCUACGGGAGGCAGCAGUAGGGAACCUUCCACAAUGGGCGAAAGCCUGAUGGAGCAAUGCCGCGUGAGUGAUGAAGGUUUUCGGAUCGUAAAGCUCUGUUGCCAGGGAAGAACGUCCGGGUGAGUAACUGCACCCGGAGUGACGGUACCUGAGAAGAAAGCCCCGGCUAACUACGUGCCAGCCGCCGCCGUAA